RNAcentral lists this transfer RNA (87 nucleotides) under Ktedonobacter sp. SOSP1-85. RNAcentral's name for it is "tRNA-His". Lineage: Bacteria; Bacillati; Chloroflexota; Ktedonobacteria; Ktedonobacterales; Ktedonobacteraceae. The record is from RNAcentral.
GGGCAGCCUGGGUCAGGUUUGAGACAUAGUCGUUCUGUGAUGUCGACUGAAUGACGCGCUCGUCGAAGUUCAACUCUUUCCUGGCUU